Molecule: ribosomal RNA, 468 nt
Filed under: uncultured bacterium
Lineage: Bacteria
Description: partial 16S ribosomal RNA
Rfam family: Bacterial small subunit ribosomal RNA
Source: RNAcentral
GACGAACGCUGGCGGCGUGCUUAACACAUGCAAGUCGAACGGAAAGACCCUGCUUUUGUGGGGUGCUCGAGUGGCGAACGGGUGAGUAACACGUGAGUAACCUGCCCUUGACUUUGGUAUAACUUCAGGAAACGGGAGCUAAUACCGGAUAGGAGCUCCUGCUGCGUUGUGGGGGUUGGAAAGUUUCGGCUGUUGGGGAUGGACUCGCGGCUUAUCAGCUUGUUGGUGGGGUAGUGGCUUACCAAGGCUUUGACGGGUAGCCGGCCUGAAAGGGUGACCGGCCACAUUGGGCCUGCGAUACGCCCCAGACUCCUACGGUAGGCAGCAGUGGGAAACAUUGCACAGUGGGCGGAAGCCUGAUGCAGCAACGUCGCGUGCGGGAUGACGUCCUUCGGGUUGUAAACAGCUGUCGCCUGUGACGCAGCGUGACUGACGGUAAUGGGUAAAGAAGCACCGGCUAACUACGUG